RNAcentral lists this long non-coding RNA (664 nucleotides) under Papio anubis (olive baboon). Its description in RNAcentral is "lncRNA (ENSPANG00000044769.1)". Lineage: Eukaryota; Metazoa; Chordata; Mammalia; Primates; Cercopithecidae. The record is from RNAcentral.
CAGGGUCUUCUAAAGUGCUUAUGUAUUUCUCACUUCCAGGGCACUGACAAGGGCUUGUAUGCACCACAUCCUUGCCGAUACUUGCAUUUGUAAUCAUGGCCUUCCAGAGGGUGUGUGUGAUAUCCCAUCAUGCCUCUCAUCUGCAUUUCUUUAGCUCAAGAACCUCUUAAGGAGUUGUUAAGAAGUCUCUGAAUGAGUGGGUCCAAUUAACUACAGUCAAGUCUGCUGUGCCGAGACCUGGCAAAUCAGGGAAGUGGAUCUAGAGGAGUUUCAUCAGAUUCAGGCUCAACUUUUAUGCCAAAAGGACUUUAACGGUGGAAUCAUGAACCCCCGUGAGGAGGUGCACAGAAUUUCUGGAUCAAUUUGGGAACUAAGACUAGAGAAGAUCUGUGUUUCAUCAUCUGGAAACCAUGGAGAGGGUGAGGCACAUGGAGUUCCUUGACCCCUCAUCUUGCUGAAGCAGCAAGCAUGGGUGAGUGCUGAGAAACCUCACACACUCCUAGGCUACCAAGAGCUGUGUGGACACUCUUGUGUAAGUUGGUCAAAGAGGAACCCUGUAUACUGGACACUAUGUUGUUUACUUCUUCAGAAUAGGACAGUAAACUCAAAACCUGCCAGCACCAAACUCAAAAUUUUACACAUUCAAUCACUUACAUAUAGCUCA